GCCUCCCUAGCUCAUCGGGUAGAGCGCCGCCCUCGUAAGGCGGAGGCGGGCGGUUCGAGACCGCCGGGAGGCUCCA
RNAcentral lists this transfer RNA (76 nucleotides) under Mycobacterium koreense. RNAcentral's name for it is "Mycolicibacillus koreensis tRNA-Thr". It matches the Rfam family "tRNA". Rfam says of the family: Transfer RNA (tRNA) molecules are approximately 80 nucleotides in length. Their secondary structure includes four short double-helical elements and three loops (D, anti-codon, and T loops). The record is from RNAcentral. Lineage: Bacteria; Bacillati; Actinomycetota; Actinomycetes; Mycobacteriales; Mycobacteriaceae.